GCUGGCGGCGUGCCUAACACAUGCAAGUCGAACGGAGCUAUUAUGGAAGUACCUUCGGGUGCGGAAGUUUUAGCUUAGUGGCGAACGGGUGAGUAACGCGUGAGCAACCUGCCUCUCAGUGGGGGACAACAGUUGGAAACGACUGCUAAUACCGCAUAAAGCAUCGAGACCGCAUGAUCAUGAUGCCAAAGAUUUAUUGCUGAGAGAUGGGCUCGCGUCUGAUUAGAUAGUUGGUGGGGUAACGGCCUACCAAGUCGACGAUCAGUAGCCGGACUGAGAGGUUGAACGGCCACAUUGGGACUGAGAUACGGCCCAGACUCCUACGGGAGGCAGCAGUGGGGAAUAUUGGGCAAUGGGCGAAAGCCUGACCCAGCGACGCCGCGUGAGGGAAGAAGGUCUUCGGAUUGUAAACCUCUUUCAGCAGGGAAGAAGCAAGUGACGGUACCUGCAGAAGAAGUCACGGCUAACUACGUG
Molecule: ribosomal RNA, 474 nt
Filed under: uncultured bacterium
Lineage: Bacteria
Description: bacterial SSU rRNA
Rfam family: Bacterial small subunit ribosomal RNA
Source: RNAcentral